AUGAUAAGAGAUUUGUGGUGGGGAGACGAGGAUGGACACAGGAAGGUACACUGGAUGUCGUGGGACCGUAUGACUAAACCGAAAAGGGAUGGGGGUAUUGGCUUCAGAGAUAUGCAUCUCUUUAACCAGGCACUCCUCGCAAAGCAAGGGUGGAGACUGAUCCAGAACCCUAACAGCCUCUGCGCAAGAGUGCUUAAGUCAAAGUACUACCCUCAUGGAAAUGUCCUAGACAUCGUCUAUGCAUCAGAUGUUUCACCGGUGUGGAGGGGCAUUGAGUUCGGAUUGCAACUUUUGAAGAAGGGGAUAAUUUGGAGGGUCGGAGAUGGAAAAAGUAUACAAAUCCAGCGAGAUCAGUGGCUGCCU
This 363-nucleotide ribosomal RNA is filed under the name Triticum aestivum (bread wheat). RNAcentral describes it as "partial small subunit ribosomal RNA". Lineage: Eukaryota; Viridiplantae; Streptophyta; Magnoliopsida; Poales; Poaceae. The record is from RNAcentral.